GGGGCUUACUCGUUCCCCCAUGGAUUGGAUAUUCACUAGUAUGUUUAGAUUAUUUCUUGUUUUCUUUGUGGUGCUGAUUUUAACUUUUAUUAUGGUAUGAGGGCAUCACUGAUUUUUAACUCUUUUAAAUUUGUUGAAUUUUUAAGUCUAUUUAGUAUAAAUUUGUGGUCACUUAGAAGAACUGUCUAUCCUGCUUUUGUUGCAUAGAGACUUUCUGUUGGUUAGAGCCUCGACAAUGAUAGGUCAGCGCUAGUUGGGCACACCCUGCCCAAGAGUGCCUGGAUGUGUGGAGCCUGGGCCCUCUCUAAAGUCCAUCUCACUUGGAAUCCUGAAGACUUGGGUUUGCUGAAUCCUUUACCACUUCCCAGUGUAGCCAUGUGAAUAGAGCUCUCUUUUCCACUUUCCACUUUUAAUUUGGCUCUUUUAAGUGGCUUAUUAAGGAUGGGUGACUGGAUUUGACUUGGGCCCCCUAGUCCAGUAACAAAGGUGUCACGGUACUCAGGACCUCCACAGUGCAGUGCUCGCCUUACCUCACACCAGGUGAGCACUGCUCUGUGAGAAAGGCGAAGACAGCACAUUCCCGCAACUUUCAGUAUUUUCUUAAAAUCAUUCUGUUUUAUGAGGAGUUAUUGUUGGUCUCUUACUGAAUUUACAUCCUGUAUAUAGAAAAAAAAAACCUAUUGUAUUUGGAGUUCAGUACCGCCUGGGUGUUUUAAUGACUAAGGGAGAUUUCUUCAUUCUUGGACUAAGGCUUCUAUUUUAAAAACAAACCCUUUGUUAAAUUUAGUAAAUGCACCAUACCUUUCAAAACAGAAUGUACAGCUGGGUGUGGUGGCACGCGCCUUUAAUCCCAGCACAUGGGAGGCAGGGGCAGGCGGAUUUCUGAGUUCAAGGCCAGCCUGGUCUACAGAGUGAGUUCCAGGACAGCCAGGGCUAUACAGAGAAACCCUGUCUCAAAAAACCAAAACCAAACAAACAAACAAAAAAACCAACCCAGAAUGUACAGAUCUGAAUUUUAUCGGGCGCUUUUUCACUAAUAGACUAUGUGACUUCCCCCCUUAUUUAUGUGUUUAGUGCUGCAGUUAGUAGUCGCAUAGUUAUUCUUUUUUUAAUUAAUUUUAAUUUAUGUUUAUGUUAUUUGCCUGCAUAUAUGUCUAUUAGGGUAUCAGAUCUUGCGGUGAACCUGUGUCCUCUGGGAGGACAUUCAGUGCUCUUAACUGCUGAGCCAUCUCUCUAUCUAGCCUGUGACAUAGAUAGAAAUUCAUAUGUUUCAUCUUCAGUGAUUUUUUUUUUGUUUGUUUUUUGUUUGUUAUUAGAAAAGAGAGAGAUUCACUCAGUCUGAUUUGGAUUGGUUAGUUGAAGAAUGCAUGACGAUGAUAUGUGUAUCUGUUUUCUGAGACGUUAUUUGGGGGGUUUUGAUCUGUUCUGCUAAGUUAUAUUAGUUUAUACUUGAGGUUAUUUUGUUUGUUUGUUUGUUUUUUGUUUUGUUUUGUUUUGUUUUUGGUUUUUUGAGACAGGGUUUCUCUGUGUAGCCCUGGCUGUCCUGGAACUCACUUUGUAGACCAGGCUGGCCUUGGAAUUCAGAAAUCCGCCUGCCUCUGCCUCCCGAGUGCUGGGAUUAAAGGCGUGAGCCACCACGCCUGGCUCUUGAGGUUAUUCUGAACAUUGAUGUUCAACGUUGACUUGCAGGAGCCCUCUUCUUGUCUUCUUUUCUGUACUUAGGAAUAUGAAAUUUACCAAUAACUGUGUCUUUUUCUGAAUGUUGAACUUUCCAAGGGCUACACCACUACUCUUCUUACUCUUUGGGGUGAAUCUUUUUGUGUCUUUUGUUUUGUGACUUGUGUGCUUUCUGAAUUAUAAAUGUAGUAAUAGAGGCUAGUGUGUUGUUACAAAAGCUCUUAACCCCGGAGGUUAACAGGUGAAGCGCUCGCAGCCAAGCGUGAGAACGGGAGUUUGGAUCCCUGGCAUCAGUGGUGUUUGUUGCUUUUAUAUCUCUUUCACAGCUUCAUAUAAGAAAACCCAAUUACACAGAACACUUGCACAUAUAAGCAAAAGUUGCAGUUUUCACAUUUAUGUUAUAAAAGUAAUACUUUAGGGAAGCUGUUCUUAUGAUUCAGGAUUUAAAAUAAUUGGUAUAGAUUGCACACUUAAUUCCCAGACCAUAGAACAUUUCCAUUUCCCAGGAAGCCGUCUUCCAGACUUUUCCAUAAGCACCCAGUCCAUCCUCAUCCUGCUUUUUCUCCGUCUAAGACCUGAGGGUGGUAACUUCUGCUCUCCUAGGCCUUCCAUGGACUGUCAUGACAUGGGGUUUUGUUUAAGAUACUUUAUUACAGCCUGUAGCUUUUCCUGUGUUCAUAAUCGAGGAAAAAUGCCCUGUCUCCUUAAGUUAUGCAGGUCAAGAACUUAUAAAGUGUUACAUAAUCUCAUAUAAAGAAUGUAUUUUUUUUCUUAGUGACUGGACAUCUCCUAACUGAGAACCCGGAGUGUGUUUGUCAUUUCUGUCUUUAGGACUUAGUGGGGAAAAGGACAACACUAGCUUACUUAACCCUUUAUUGUCUUGCUUUCCGGUUAUUUUCUAUAGAACUUGAAACCACAUUGAAUAUGUUCCUUUUAACCCUUCUCUUAAUACAGUAUGAAUGUUCCUUUGUGCCAUGGAAUAAUUCCUUUCAACUGUUCUUUUUUUUCUUUUCUUUUCCAGUUUUACUGGCAUGGUUUUACUCUGUAGCCCAUGCUGGCUUGGAAGUCAUUUCCUCCUGCCUCAGCCUCUUGAGUUCUGAGAUUACAGUCAUACCCUGCAACUCAGGCUUUAAAACAUUCUUAAUGACUGGAGGGUAUC
This 2836-nucleotide long non-coding RNA is filed under the name Mus musculus (house mouse). RNAcentral's name for it is "long non-coding RNA chr19:29108615-29111451". Lineage: Eukaryota; Metazoa; Chordata; Mammalia; Rodentia; Muridae. The record is from RNAcentral.